AUUACCGAGUUUACAACUCCCAAACCCAAUGUGAACGUUACCAAACUGUUGCCUCGGCGGGAUCUCUGCCCCGGGUGCGUCGCAGCCCCGGACCAAGGCGCCCGCCGGAGGACCAACCAAAAACUCUUUUGUAUACCCCCUCGCGGGUUUUUUAUAUCUGAGCCAUCUCGGCGCCUCUCGUAGGCGUUUCGAAAAUGAAUCAAAACUUUCAACAACGGAUCUCUUGGUUCUGGCAUCGAUGAAGAACGCAGCGAAAUGCGAUAAGUAAUGUGAAUUGCAGAAUUCAGUGAAUCAUCGAAUCUUUGAACGCACAUUGCGCCCGCCAGUAUUCUGGCGGGCAUGCCUGUCCGAGCGUCAUUUCAACCCUCGAACCCCUCCGGGGGGUCGGCGUUGGGGAUCGGCCCUUUACGGGGCCGGCCCCGAAAUACAGUGGCGGUCUCGCCGCAGCCUCUCCUGCGCAGUAGUUUGCACACUCGCAUCGGGAGCGCGGCGCGUCCAUUGCCGUAAAACACCCAACUUUCUGAAAUGUUGACCUCGGAUCAGGUAGGAAUACCCGCUGAACUUAA
RNAcentral lists this ribosomal RNA (566 nucleotides) under Trichoderma spirale. RNAcentral describes it as "eukaryotic LSU rRNA". The stretch from base 204 to 357 matches the Rfam family "5.8S ribosomal RNA". Lineage: Eukaryota; Fungi; Ascomycota; Sordariomycetes; Hypocreales; Hypocreaceae. The record is from RNAcentral.